GGAAGAGCCACCCUUGAUAAAACCUGAGAUUCAGAACACCAGGACAGCCUGUUUCCACUAGAUUCCCAGAGUAAGGCUGGACCAAUCUCACCACCACCACUGGACUUUCAAAGGGAAACUUACCUUUCUACAGGAUUAUCUCGGCCCCAACAGAACUACAUCUGUCACUCCAGGAGCACUUUACUGGACUGAUAACAACACCCGGACCAACAGGGUGUCAGGUUGUAUUCUGACUUGUCUUCCAACUCCCCCGCUUCAAGGUCACUCUGAGGAGCAGAGUUUUCCUGGGGAAAAAACAAACCUUCCCCUCCCCUUUGCACCCAAUAGACGUUUGGGGGAUACACAGUCACACUAGGACAGCAAGGAAGUUUCUCAUUCCAGCAAAGCUGACAGGGAGGUAUAAACCUCUAAAUCUCUGCAUAGACCACAAGUGUGGAUGGAUUCAGAGCUUAAACCAAGUUGAAACAUAGAGCAGAAACCAGCGAGUUCAUUUAUGUCCUGUGUGCUUGUGAAGAAGGGGGUUGUUCCUGGUUGAAAACACACUGAUGAGAACAUCUGUGCUGGACACUUAUCUCCCUUCCCUUUUUCUUUUAAAGCCUGAAAGUUCAUUUGUAUGGGCUCCGGUUGUAGAGAAGGCUGAUUUGGAAGAGCAUUUUCUAGGCUAUGCUGAUCAUCCAAGGUAUAAAUAACAAAUUGAGAAUAACCUUUCCUGGAAUAAAGCUUUCAUCAAUCAAAACAAGGAGGAAACACAUCCACUCAUUUACAAACACAGAGCACAUAAUCUAUUUUUGCUUCUUUGCACCUGCUCUCUUGACAAUCUAUCA
Long non-coding RNA from Hirundo rustica (Barn swallow), 824 nucleotides. RefSeq lists it as uncharacterized. Lineage: Eukaryota; Metazoa; Chordata; Aves; Passeriformes; Hirundinidae. The record is from RefSeq and is a predicted model, not a curated record. The transcript has 3 exons.